GAGUAACUGGUUUUGAUCCACCUGCCACAAUUUUAUCCUCCAAUUGUAAGGCCAACGAGCAAAAGAAAGAAACAUUAAUUCAUAUAUAACUCCACAACAAUGACCAUAUGCUGCAUAAAUGAGCCAUAUUCCAUUGGCAUACAUAAUAUACCAUUAAAGCACAUGAUGAGUGGGAAGACGUCAGUUUAGAGCUUUCUCUUCUUUUUCUUCUCUUUU
This 216-nucleotide unclassified non-coding RNA is filed under the name Hevea brasiliensis (rubber tree). The record is from RNAcentral. Lineage: Eukaryota; Viridiplantae; Streptophyta; Magnoliopsida; Malpighiales; Euphorbiaceae.